RNAcentral lists this non-coding RNA (90 nucleotides) under Methyloceanibacter marginalis. Its description in RNAcentral is "Glycine sequence". It matches the Rfam family "Glycine riboswitch aptamer". From Rfam's summary of the family: This family represents the bacterial glycine riboswitch. Glycine riboswitches usually consist of two metabolite-binding aptamers domains with similar structures in tandem. The record is from Rfam by way of RNAcentral. Lineage: Bacteria; Pseudomonadati; Pseudomonadota; Alphaproteobacteria; Hyphomicrobiales; Hyphomicrobiaceae.
UUUUGUCUUGCGGAAGAGACCGGCUCAUGCCCGGCGCCGAAGGAGCAACCGCCCCGGAAACUCUCAGGCAACAAGGACCGCAAGACUACU